UGUACACUAAGAAGAUCUUCCUAAAAGGUCCUGAGGUCUUCCCAGGUCAUCACCCACGUCAGGUGCCUCAAGUUAUGCAAUAAACACACAGUGACAUGAAAUACAGAGGACUAACGUGCAUUUCUUUGUAUCUGCAUAGAAGGGAGGCCUGCUGGACGGCGAUAGGGACCAUGCAGCACGUGGAAAGUGUCUCCCCAAAAGAAGGGCUCCAUGGAUACUGAAAUUACGCAGACACCAAAAUACCUGGUCACAGGAAUGAGGAGUAAAAGGAUGAUGAAACGUGAGCAUCUGGGACAUGAUUCUUUGUAUUGGCUCAGACAGAAAGCUAAGAAAUCCCUGGUGUUCAUGUUUUACUACAACUGUAAGGAACUCACUGAGAACAAGACUGUGCCAAGUCACUUCACACCUGAAUGCCCUGACAGCUCUCGCUUAUACCUUCAUGUGUUCGCGCUGCAGCCAGAAGACUCAGCUCUGUGUCUCUGUACCAGUAGCCAAGAUACAGCCCUGCACAGUCACCGCCUCCCUGUGCACAAACCUCCUCCUAAGUCUAGUCAGAGAUCCAUGGGGGCAACGCGUUCAGCUGAGCCUCAACACUCGGUUCAGCAUUCCGUAGGACCUCGGCAGAAAUCUCAGACCAUAAUACUGUCAUUUAUUGGAUGUGACAACGCUAAAUUGCCCAGACACCUGCAGCCUGGGGCAUGACUUUGUCUUGAACGAGACUAUGCCUGAGUUUGAAUGUAGGACAGAAGCUGUCACAUUUAAGUUGUUCCAAGUAUCUUCCAGUUGGCUUGUGCCUCUGGAAAAUGUUGUGUGAAGUAUUUAACACUCUGGCCACACUAAUCCACCUUCCAAAAUGAACCGUUUUUUGACUUUUCUUUUGACUCAAG
Molecule: non-coding RNA, 887 nt
Organism: Macaca mulatta (Rhesus monkey)
Lineage: Eukaryota; Metazoa; Chordata; Mammalia; Primates; Cercopithecidae
Source: the annotation of a RefSeq genome assembly